RNAcentral lists this ribosomal RNA (278 nucleotides) under uncultured bacterium. RNAcentral describes it as "partial 16S ribosomal RNA". It matches the Rfam family "Bacterial small subunit ribosomal RNA", at positions 506 to 784 of the family's 1533-position model. The record is from RNAcentral.
UGCCAGCAGCCGCGGUAAUACGAAGGUCCCAAGCGUUAUCCGGAAUUAUUGGGCGUAAAGGGUGCGCAGGCGGUUUGAUAAGUUUAAGGUGAAAGCGUGGAGCUCAACUCCAUACAGCCUUAGAAACUGUCAGACUAGAGUGCAGAAGGGGGUAGUGGAAUUCCAUGUGUAGCGGUAAAAUGCGUAGAUAUAUGGAGGAACACCAGUGGCGAAGGCGACUACCUGGUCUGUAACUGACGCUCAUGCACGAAAGCGUGGGGAGCAAAUAGGAUUAGAUA